CCGUCUGCAUUAAGCGCUUAACCAGGUAGUGUUGACUACUGCUCCGAACCACCUAGUAGCAGAGAGACAUCCCCAGCGCUAAGGCCUCCUUGCUUUUCGUAAAGCGCUCCAGUCGAAGUUGAUGCGGUGCCACAAGAAGUCAUGCAAUCUUUACUAAAAGGAAUGAAGACUGAAACCAUCCCUCACAGGCCAGAGACAAAGGGCUGAUUCAUCCAAGGCCUCGCCUCUCCAAGACAAAAGGGGUAAAACAAUCAAUCGGCAACCUCCAUCGCUUCCUUCCCUGUUACUGUACCUGUCGACUGACGUCUUACCAGACAUGGUUAGAUCUGUCUGUAUUUGUCUAAUACUGUCUGGUAAUGCCGUCCAUUGCAGGCUGAGACAUCUCCUCUUCGAAUCUUCUCCCAUCAUCUCCUGCAUUAUGGUAAUAUUAAAAGCUAAUUGCCAUAAGUGGACCAUAGAUUAGAAAUAUUAGCAUAUUCAUGUUAUAGACUAGUAGCAUUAAUAAGCAGUGCAAGUACAGUGGCUUUGGUAAGGAGAACACAGCUUAGUGAUCGUGAUAAUCAUCCUGCAUAAUACUUUUCAUAGAGUCUGCAGUGUUUAAUAACUUUUUAAUAACAUUUUUUUGCAGUGGAUUUGUACAUAAAUACCUAGAUAAUGUGUGUGUACUGUAUGUCUAUAUAUAUAAUCUUUGGAUAACUUGCAUGCAGUUUGUGUUUUGUUAAGUUUCUGAACGCUGUGCAUAGUAUUCUUAUAUAUUUCGUAAUAUUUUUGAUGUCUUUUUAAUUUUUUUUUUCAUAUCAGUUAAUGUAGAUACUUAUCAAUCAUAUAAUUCGUCAUUAUUUCUAUACUUCUGGGCUCAAUUUUUAUUUAAAAUUACAUUCAAAUUGCCCUUAAUACAUAUUCAGAACAUGAAGAAAAGGAAAAUUUGAUGGGCUCCAAAUCAAAAUCUAAUUUUAAUAAAUGAAUCACACAAAAAUAAACAGGGGAGGCAUGGUGGUGCAGUGGUUAGCACUGUUGCCUCACACCUCUGGGACCCGGGUUUGAGUCUCCGCCUGGGUCACAUGUGUGUGGAGUUUGCAUGUUCUCCCCAUGUCGUCGUGGGGUUUCCUCUGGGUACUCCGGUUUCCCCCCACAGUCCAAAAACAUGCUGAGGCUGAUUGGAGUUGCUAAAUUGCCCAUAGGUGCGCAUGUGUGAGUGAAUGGUGUGUGAGUGUGCCCUGCGAUGGGCUGGCCCCCCAUCCAGGGUUGUUCCCUGCCUCGUGCCCAUUGCUUCCGGGAUAGGCUCCGGACCCCCCGCGACCCAGUAGGAUAAGCGGUUUGGAAAAUGGAUGGAUGGACAAAAAUAAACAUUUUUGUUAUAGAAAAUGCGGGCAGUGUGCUCUUUGGUCUGUUUUUCUCUGAUUGCCUCACUGCUCGUUCCUCUGAGAUUGGUUGGAAUUGCAAUUCUGUGACAUGGUAUGCUGUUAUAAUAAUUGAUAUUUUAUUGAUCCCUGUGGGGAAAAUUCCCGUCAUGCCCCCCCCAACUUUCUCUCUCUAAAUGAAAGCAAGCUGGCUGCAAAAGGCAGCCAGCUAUAACAGUGCCUAAGGAGCUGAUGCCUGAGGGCCUGACUUACAGUGAAGACGCAGAUGUAUCCAGGCCGGGCCUUAACUGGCAACCUUAUACUGUAGGUCAGAGGCACCCAGGGUUAGCCCAUUUAGUCACACACUGCCUCCAUACAGUUACAUGCUAUCAUGCAAUGUUCCUUAUCUAGAGUUUAUUGACGUUUUUCAUUUUCUUAUCAUUUAAAUUGUACUUGACCAUAAGUCGAUAUAUCAUUUAUAUCGCCCAGCCCUACUACCUUAGUAAUUAUGUCAACUAUUGCACAUUAAAAGUGACUGUUGUGACAUGUGUUUCAUGUAUCCCAGCCCAUUUGAUUGUAUGGAUUAUUCAUUUAGUAAUGAACUAUAUAUUUCUGUUUUAAAUGUACAGUAGUGAUAAGCACAGUUCACAUUAUGAAUAAAGAUAUUAAAACAUUUUUAAACAUUAA
Long non-coding RNA from Brienomyrus brachyistius, 2027 nucleotides. RefSeq lists it as uncharacterized. The record is from RefSeq and is a predicted model, not a curated record. Lineage: Eukaryota; Metazoa; Chordata; Actinopteri; Osteoglossiformes; Mormyridae. The transcript has 2 exons.